GCUGGCGUGGCUCAGUUGGCAGAGCGGGUGACUCGUAAUCACCAGGUCGGGGGUUCAAGUCCCCCCGCCAGCACCA
Molecule: transfer RNA, 76 nt
Filed under: Desulfurobacterium thermolithotrophum DSM 11699
Lineage: Bacteria; Pseudomonadati; Aquificota; Aquificia; Desulfurobacteriales; Desulfurobacteriaceae
Description: tRNA-Thr (CGT) (tRNA-Thr-CGT-1-1)
Rfam family: tRNA
About the family: Transfer RNA (tRNA) molecules are approximately 80 nucleotides in length. Their secondary structure includes four short double-helical elements and three loops (D, anti-codon, and T loops).
Source: RNAcentral